Molecule: long non-coding RNA, 760 nt
Organism: Peromyscus eremicus (cactus mouse)
Lineage: Eukaryota; Metazoa; Chordata; Mammalia; Rodentia; Cricetidae
Exons: 4
Source: RefSeq, a predicted model, not a curated record
CCAUGCUUUGAAUUGCUUUUAGGCUACUCCUCCAAACUUCCCAAACACCUGCAGUUCCAGUACAAAGAUUCUUCCACACCACAUGGUGUAAUAACUUCAGCAGCCUGAUUUUCAUUACCAGAUCUUCCUGUGAGUCAUCCUUCUGACACCGUAACUAAAUUGAAAGUGCUGAACCAUGAACAUGACCACAGUUUUCUGGAGAAGACAAGCUCUCAAUGUCACUUCCCCAAGUACACAGCACUGUUCUCUACUUGCUUUAUUAAAGUUGCCUUUUGGUGUGUUCUUUCAAGGACAUCCUACAAAGUGUAAAUGAGAACAUCCAAAAAGAGAAAACAACCAUACUGCCAGCAGUAUUUUCUGAACUCCUUCUGUAAACUGCAACUUAAACAUUGGCAUGGCCAAAUGUGCAUGGCUCGGGCAAAGGCAAGAAGCACAAUAUACACCCUACAUGAGACACAUCUGUUCCUGAGAACACCAAUAUGCUUCAGAGAAAAUGAUGGGAAUUGAAGAACCUCUGUAUGGAGUUUGGUUUCAUUGUGGUAAAGUUAGCCACCAGGAAGAAACUGUCCUUGCUUCAACUGCUGGCAGUGUGCUGUCCAAAUUGGAUUAGAAGGACACAAAAGAAGGUGGUUGAUGAACUUUUCCAAGACAAGGUAUGACAGUCCUUCAAAAUUCCUGUUUCACAGAAAAGUCUGUCAGAUAUUCUAGGCCUGUAGGCCAAAGACAGAUGCCCCAACAUUUCAGAGGAACCUUGGUAACU